RNAcentral lists this unclassified non-coding RNA (197 nucleotides) under uncultured fungus. Its description in RNAcentral is "sequence contains ITS1". The record is from RNAcentral. Lineage: Eukaryota; Fungi.
UUAACUUAUUUUGUUUUGGUACUCAGAAGUCCGCUAUAAAUUCAAUAAUUUGGGGCCCUCGGCGGCCGCCUUGGCCCGGGGCACGCCCAGAGGCGCGCCCGGGGCGGAUCCGCCGAAGCAACUUUGGUAUGUUCACAAUGGUUUGGGAGUCCUUUCGGAGCUCUGUAAUGAUCCCUCCGCUGGUUCACCAACGGAGA